This 274-nucleotide ribosomal RNA is filed under the name uncultured bacterium. RNAcentral's name for it is "partial 16S ribosomal RNA". It matches the Rfam family "Bacterial small subunit ribosomal RNA", at positions 523 to 796 of the family's 1533-position model. The record is from RNAcentral.
AUACGGAGGGUGCAAGCGUUAUCCGGAAUCAUUGGGUUUAAAGGGUCCGUAGGCGGAUUGGUAAGUCAGUGGUGAAAGUCUGCAGCUUAACUGUAGAAUUGCCAUUGAUACUGCUAGUCUUGAAUUGCUGUGAAGUGAUUAGAAUGUGUAGUGUAGCGGUGAAAUGCAUAGAUAUUACACAGAAUACCAAUUGCGAAGGCAGAUCACUAACAGUAUAUUGACGCUGAGGGACGAAAGCGUGGGGAGCGAACAGGAUUAGAAACCCUAGUAGUCC